GAUGACUUCUACAGUCGACUUUGAGACCAGCUCAUCCACCUACGACAAAAUAUUUGCAUCUGCCACAAUUAUUAUAGAAAAAAGAAAACACCAGACAGAGUCACCUCAAAGUUCUACUAAGAUGCAGGUGUUGGUAAUUGUUACUACAGUCUUGUCAGUUCUCCUCGUAGUAAUCUUGCUUUCUUGGAUUAAAACAAAAAUAGUUAGACUGCUAGAACAGAGAUAUCAACAGUCAGUUUAUAGAUCAACAUUUUCUGGUCUUUCAUUCUCUGAACGGAUGUGUACAAGACGAGCAGAAGUAAGUCGUCAAAAGCAGAAUAGGACAGAGGUCUGAUUUGAUUAUCUUUUUACAGUGUUUCUACUACGAUUAUUGAUGACAAGAAGAAGAGGGGGAGUGAAUAGAAAUAAUGGAGGAAGGUUGAAUUUGAGAAGAAUUAUAAAUGCAAAUAUGAACAGACAUAAUUAUAACUUGAGACCAAGAAGAUGAGAAGACAGGUGUGUAAAGUAACAGAAAAGUAAUUUCAAAAGACAAUCUGGAUCAUGUAUAAGGAUAACGCAACCAGAUAUCUUAUUUUCAUUGCUUUACAUUUUCAUUGUAGGUCUGGUAAACUGGUUUUAUAUCAUAACACAAUUUAAAAGUUAAUUUGAUCAAAAUACAAAAAUCCUAUUCCUAACUUGUCUACAAUAGCUUAAAAUGAAAAAAAAUAGUUAAUUUGAGAGUGAUAAGAGGAUUCCUAUAAAAUUUUUGAUAAUAUAACUUCUGACCUGAGUCACCUCUGUUUUGCAUUCAUUGGUGUCUAAUAUAUGAAAAGUUUUGACAAUACAUUUUAACUCGGUUAUUUGGAAAAUGAUUAACUAUACAAUGUCAGAUAUUAUGAUAAUUUUUGGAAGGUAGACAGGG
Mercenaria mercenaria is the source of this 901-nucleotide long non-coding RNA. RefSeq lists it as uncharacterized. The transcript is spliced from 3 exons. The record is from RefSeq and is a predicted model, not a curated record. Lineage: Eukaryota; Metazoa; Mollusca; Bivalvia; Venerida; Veneridae.